CUCAUGGAGAGUUUGAUCUUGGCUCAGGAUGAAUGUUAGCGACAUUCUUAACAAAUGCAAGUCAGACAUAAAGUGGUGUUUCCAGUGGCGGACAUGUAAGUAACGUGUAAUAACUUUCCCUUGGGACGGGAACAACAACUGGAAAUGACUGCUAAUACCCCAUAAGCUGAGGAGAAAAAGGAGGAAUCUGCCCAAGAAGGGGAUUGCAUAUGAUUAUUUAGUUGGUGAGGCAAUGAAUUACGAAGGCGGCGAUCAGUAGCUGGUCCAAGAGGAUGAUCAACCACACUGGGACUGAGACAUGACCCAGACUCCUACGUGAGGCAGUAGUGGGGAAUUUUCCAUAAUGGGUGAAAUCCCGACGGAGCUAUGUCGCGUGAAGGCAGAAGGCCGACGGGUCAUGAACUUCUUUUCUCAUAGGAGAAGCAAUGUUAGUAUAUGAGGAAUAAGCAUCAUCUAACUCUAUGCUAACAACCGCGGUAAGACAAAGGAUGCAAGAGUUAUCCAGAAUGAUUGGGUGUAAAGAGUCUAUAGGUGGAUUUUAAAGUCUACUGUCAAAUCCUAGGGCUCAACCCUGGACAGGCGGUGGAAACUACCAAGCUAGAGUAUGGUAGGGGCAAAGGGAAUUUUCGAUGGAGCGGUGAAAUGCAUUGAGAUUGAAAAUAACACCAACGACGAAAACACUAUGUUGGGCCGACAUUAACACUGAGAUACGAAAGCUAGGGGAGAAAAUGGGAUUAGAUACCCCAAUAUUCCUAGCUGUAAACGAUGGAUACUAAGUAUUGUGAGUAUUGACCCACACAAUGUUGUAGAUAACGCGUUAAUUAUCCCACCUGGGGAGUACGUUCGCAAGAAUGAAACUCAAAGGAAUUGUCGGGGGCCUGCACAAGCGAUGGAACAUGUGGUUCAAUUUGAUGCAAAGAGAAGAACCUUACCAGGGCUUGACAUGCCGUGAAUCCUCCCAAAAGAGAGGAGUGCCUUCGACAACGCAGACACAUGUGGUGCAUGGCUGUCAUCAGCUCGUGCUGUAAGGUGUUGGGUUAAGUCCCACAAUGAGCGCGACACUCAUUUUUAGUUGCCAGCAUUGAAUUUGGAACCCUGAACAGAUUGUCGGUGAUAAGCUAGAGGAAGAUGAGGAUGACAUCAAGUCAUCAUGCCCAUUACGCCCUAGGUGACACACAUGCUACAAUGACUGGGACAAAGGGUUGCAACCCAGUGAGGGAAAGCUAACCUCAAAAACUUGACCUCACUUUGGAUUGCAGGCUACAACUCGCCUGCAUAAGGCUUAAAUCGCUAGUAAUUGUCGGUGAGCCAUACGACAUUGAAUUUGUUCCCGGGUCUUGUACACACUGCCCGUCACACUAUGGGAGUUGGCCAUGCCCCAAGUCGUUACCUUAACUGCAAUGAGGGGGAUGUCAAAGGCUGGGCUAGUGACUGGAGUGAAUUCGUAAAAAGGUAGUCGUAAUGGAAGGUGUGGUUGGAUCACCUUAUUU
Picea glauca (white spruce) is the source of this 1490-nucleotide non-coding RNA. The record is from Rfam. Lineage: Eukaryota; Viridiplantae; Streptophyta; Pinopsida; Pinales; Pinaceae.